CAAAAUCUCAGAGGGUACAAGAUUAAUUAUUUAAGGAAAACAUCACAAGGGUAAAAGAAAUUCAAUCAAAGAAAUCAGUGACAAAUCACUCAGUCUGAUUAAAGGGAUUUCAAAUAAUAAAUGUUCGAAGGGGAGUUUAUAUAUAAAGCAUGCAAUUUAUAACAAAGAAGAGCCUUACAAUGAGAAAUCUUAGAGCCAAAGGCAAGUGGGACUUCGAGUUUGAUUACAGGUUCGUCGUGAGCUUGUAAACAUACGGUUUCAGAGUGAAACCCUAAUGCCCUUUACUCGAAGGAAAAGCCCCCAAAAUAUAGGGUUUCUGAUAGGAUCAGAGAUGAGAAGCCAUUCGAAGCCAUAAAGAUAGGCAGACAUAAAAGAUAGGCAGACAUACACAAGCAAGAAUAUAGAAGCUACAAGUUCAACAGAACUCAGAACCAAAAUUAAAGCAUGAGCUUGAACACAUAUAGCAGAGAAUGAGAAUCAAACCUAGACUAGCAUGUGAACAAAGAACAUAGAUAAUCUCUGUAGCAAUCAGGAAAGAAAAUGAGAGAACAAACUUAUGAAAUAAACAAGCAAGUAUAAACACACGUAAGAGAGAAGAAGAAUCAGAAAAUAUUUCUAGGAAAUUUCCAAAAACCUAAAUCAGAUUUGAACGGUUUUUGAAAAAUAAAAAUUGGGAAAAAGCUCAAAAACGCCACAAACAACAUAGAUCUAGCAUAAAUAUGAAAGGAUAAAAUGAAAGGGAACCUCGAAUAGACUAGGAUUUCUUAGAACUCUAAAGGUCAAGGAAGGUUUGGAAGUCACGAGAGCAGAUCUGAAUUGAUACGGUCAAAUCCAGGCUCAGGAGGCUAAGGCACGUCGGAGCAAUGCCGGAAACAGCCAAAGAAUCUCGCAUCGACCAAGGUCUGGAUGAAUACCUUCGAGAUCUAGACUCGAAUCUUUUGUGAGCAGGCAUGUGGGACAGUAGAUGGUGGGUGGAGAUCGUUUAUGGCUAGAUUAGCCAUGGGUUUCGAUGAUUUGAGGUUGAAGAAGUGAUAGGCAGCCAUUAGGGUCCAGAGGUUGAGAUCAUUUGAGAGAGACGAAAGAAACCAAAG
Molecule: long non-coding RNA, 1091 nt
Filed under: Nicotiana benthamiana
Lineage: Eukaryota; Viridiplantae; Streptophyta; Magnoliopsida; Solanales; Solanaceae
Description: long non-coding RNA (NBEN_LNC025692)
Source: RNAcentral